GAUGAACGCUAGCGGCAGGCCUAAUACAUGCAAGUCGAACGAUACCAAGGAGCUUGCUCUUUGGAAAAGUGGCGCACGGGUGCGUAACGCGUAUGCAACCUACCUUAAUCAGGGGGAUAGCCUCUCGAAAGAGAGAUUAACACCGCAUAACAUCAUUGAAUGGCAUCAUUUAAUGAUCAAAUAUUUAUAGGAUUAAGAUGGGCGAUGCGUGACAUUAGCUAGUUGGUAAGGUAACGCUUACCAAGGCUACGAUGUCUAGGGGAUCUGAGAGGA
Molecule: ribosomal RNA, 273 nt
Filed under: uncultured bacterium
Lineage: Bacteria
Description: partial 16S ribosomal RNA
Rfam family: Bacterial small subunit ribosomal RNA
Source: RNAcentral